RNAcentral lists this long non-coding RNA (339 nucleotides) under Amborella trichopoda. Its description in RNAcentral is "long non-coding RNA (ATRI_LNC001671)". The record is from RNAcentral. Lineage: Eukaryota; Viridiplantae; Streptophyta; Magnoliopsida; Amborellales; Amborellaceae.
CAACUUAUUCCAAAGGAUAUUCCCCCAAAAGACUUUUGUCAUCCAAUAUUCACCAAAAUUCCCAAAAAAAAAAAAACGACCUAUUUUCCAUCAAAGAAAACAUAUUCCCAUAAACAUAGUAGUAGGGUGAAAAGAUUCAUUUAAUGAAAAAUCUCUUUUGAUUUUCAUUUAAACAAGAGCACAUCGCAAAGAGGAACAAAGAGAAAUUCGACUAAAAUUGAAGAAUCAGGUGGUGGCUAAGAAUUACGUGUGAGGGUCGAAUAUUUAGCUUUGCAUACAUUAUUGCUUGGUAUAAGUAAGGUUUUUGUUUUUUCCUUUCUUUUUUUAUUUGACAAUAAA